AAGACUAUUACUUUCAGGGAUCAUUUCUAUAGUUUAUAACUUGGAAAGUUGUUCUGAAAGUGUUACGUCUCUCUAUCCACGAUGACGAGUCGAGAUAUUUCUUUCUGAGCGUGAAUCUGAUGGAGAGUGAUGAGUAAAAUCAUCUGUUCUUUAUCAUUGAUGAACGCUCCUGCUGUGUUUCACAGUCUGGAGGAAAAAGUAUUUUUAAACUGAGUGGU
Molecule: small nucleolar RNA, 218 nt
Organism: Astyanax mexicanus (Mexican tetra)
Lineage: Eukaryota; Metazoa; Chordata; Actinopteri; Characiformes; Acestrorhamphidae
Gene: U3
Rfam family: Small nucleolar RNA U3
About the family: Small nucleolar RNAs (snoRNAs) are involved in the processing and modification of rRNA in the nucleolus. There are two main classes of snoRNAs: the box C/D class, and the box H/ACA class.
Source: Ensembl